GCCCAAGUGGUGAAAUGGCAAACACGGUAGACUCAAAAUCUACUGACUUCCGAGUCUUAUGGGUUCGAGUCCCAUCUUGGGCA
Centruroides sculpturatus (bark scorpion) is the source of this 83-nucleotide non-coding RNA. NCBI's taxonomy places the organism in Eukaryota, Metazoa, Arthropoda, Arachnida, Scorpiones, Buthidae. The record is from the annotation of a RefSeq genome assembly.